CCGGGCGCACGGUGAGUAACGCGUAUGCAACUUGCCUAUCAGGAGGGGAUAACCCGGCGAAAGUCGGACUAAUACCGCAUGAAGCAGGGGCCCCGCAUGGGGAUAUUUGCUAAAGAUUCAUCGCUGAUAGAUAGGCAUGCGUUCCAUUAGGCAGUUGGCGGGGUAACGGCCCACCAAACCGACGAUGGAUAGGGGUUCUGAGAGGAAGGUCCCCCACAUUGGUACUGAGACACGGACCAA
This 240-nucleotide ribosomal RNA is filed under the name uncultured bacterium. Its description in RNAcentral is "partial 16S ribosomal RNA". It matches the Rfam family "Bacterial small subunit ribosomal RNA", at positions 105 to 334 of the family's 1533-position model. The record is from RNAcentral.